RNAcentral lists this ribosomal RNA (484 nucleotides) under uncultured bacterium. Its description in RNAcentral is "partial 16S ribosomal RNA". It matches the Rfam family "Bacterial small subunit ribosomal RNA", at positions 29 to 507 of the family's 1533-position model. The record is from RNAcentral.
AUUGAACGCUGGCGGCAGGCCUAACACGUGCAAGUCGAGCGGAUGAAGGGAGCUUGCUCCUGGAUUCAGCGGCGGACGGGUGAGUAAUGCCUAGGAAUCUGCCUGGUAGUGGGGGAUAACGUCCGGAAACGGGCGCUAAUACCGCAUACGUCCUGAGGGAGAAAGUGGGGGAUCUUCGGACCUCACGCUAUCAGAUGAGCCUAGGUCGGAUUAGAUAGUUGGUGGGGUAAAGGCCUACCAAGGCGACGAUCCGUAACUGGUCUGAGAGGAUGAUCAGUCACAUUGGAACUGAGACACGGUCCAGACUCCUGCGGGAGGACGCGGUGGGGAAUUUUAGAGAAGGGGGGAAAGCCGAAUCCAGCCAAGCGGGGGGAGGGAAGAAGGUGUUCGGAUGGGAAAGCGUUGUAGGUUGGGGGGAAGGAAAGUAAUUUAAACCCUUACUGUAUUGACGUUACCAAAAGAAUAAGCACCGGCUAACUUCGUG